CCUACGGGAGGCAGCAGUGAGGAAUAUUGGUCAAGGGGCGUAAGCCUGAACCAGCCAAGUCGCGUGAGGGAUGAAGGUUCUAUGGAUCGUAAACCUCUUUUAUAAGGGAAUAAAGUGUGGGACGUGUCCGGUUUUGUAUGUACCUUAUGAAUAAGGAUCGGCUAACGCCGGGCCAGCAGCCGCGGUAAUACGGAGGAGCCGAGCGUUAUCCGGAUUUAUUGGGUUUAAAGGGUGCGUAGGCGGCCUUUUAAGUCCGCGGUGAAAGUCUGUGGCUCAACCAUAGAAUUGCCGUUGAAACGGGUAGGCUUGCGUAUGUUUGAGGCAGGCGGCAUGCGUGGUGUAGCGGU
Molecule: ribosomal RNA, 347 nt
Filed under: uncultured bacterium
Lineage: Bacteria
Description: partial 16S ribosomal RNA
Rfam family: Bacterial small subunit ribosomal RNA
Source: RNAcentral